CACGGAGUUAGCCGGGGCUUCUUCUGCUGGUACCGUCAUUAUCUUCCCAGCUGAAAGAGCUUUACAGCCCUAAGGCCUUCAUCACUCACGCGGCAUGGCUAGAUCAGGGUUGCCCCCAUUGUCUAAGAUUCCCCACUGCUGCCUCCCGUAGGAGUCUGGGCCGUGUCUCAGUCCCAGUGUGGCUGAUCAUCCUCUCAAACCAGCUAUGGAUCGUCGGCUUGGUAGGCCAUUACCCCACCAACUACCUAAUCCAACGCGGGCCGAUCCUUCGCCGAUAAAUCUUUCCCCAAAAGGGCGUAUACGGUAUUACCCCCAGUUUCCCAGGACUAUUCCGUAGCAAAGGGCACGUUCCCACGCGUUACUCACCCGUCCGCCGCUAGACCCGAAGAUCUCGCUCGACUUGCAUGUGUUAAGCCUGCCGCCAGCGUUCGUUCUGAGCCAGGAUCAAAACUCU
RNAcentral lists this ribosomal RNA (454 nucleotides) under uncultured Paracoccus sp. RNAcentral describes it as "partial 16S ribosomal RNA". Lineage: Bacteria; Pseudomonadati; Pseudomonadota; Alphaproteobacteria; Rhodobacterales; Paracoccaceae. The record is from RNAcentral.